UGAACCGGAGGAAGGUGGGGAUGACGUCAAGUCCUCAUGGCCCUUAUAGGUGGGGCUACACACGUCAUGCAAUGGCUGGUACAAAGGGUUGCCAACCCGCGAGGGGGAGCUAAUCCCAUAAAGCCAGUCGUAGUCCGGAUCGUAGUCUGCAACUCGACUACGUGAAGUCGGAAUCGCUAGUAAUCGUGGAUCAGAAUGUCACGGUGAAUACGUUCCCGGGUCUU
RNAcentral lists this ribosomal RNA (224 nucleotides) under uncultured Rhodoferax sp. RNAcentral's name for it is "partial 16S ribosomal RNA". It matches the Rfam family "Bacterial small subunit ribosomal RNA", at positions 1159 to 1382 of the family's 1533-position model. The record is from RNAcentral. Lineage: Bacteria; Pseudomonadati; Pseudomonadota; Betaproteobacteria; Burkholderiales; Comamonadaceae.